GACGAACGCUGGCGGCGUGCCUAACACAUGCAAGUCGAGCGAGGACUGCGGGUGCAGUGGCGCACGGCUGUGUAUUCCGUCGGAACCUUCACUCGGGAUAGGAAUAACUAGGCGAAUGGGGUAGCAUUGUCGGAUAUAUUCUUCUUUCAGACGAUCUAUUGGCCUGGGAUGGGCCCGUGUUUGAUUGGCUGGUUGGGAGGGUAAAAGCCGACUAAGGGGAGGAUCCAUAGCUGGUCAGAGAGGAUGGUCAGCGACACAGGGACUGGGACACGGCCCGGACUCCUACGGGAGGCAGCAGUGGGGAAUAUUGGAAAAUGGGGGGAGGCCUGAACCAGCAAUGCCGCUUGAGUGAUGAAGGCAUUAGGGUUGUAAAGCGCUUUUACCCGGGAUGAUAAUGACAGUACCGGGUGAAUAAGCGCCGGCUAACUCCGUG
This 433-nucleotide ribosomal RNA is filed under the name uncultured bacterium. Its description in RNAcentral is "partial 16S ribosomal RNA". It matches the Rfam family "Bacterial small subunit ribosomal RNA", at positions 28 to 507 of the family's 1533-position model. The record is from RNAcentral.